CCUACGGGGGGCAGCAGUAGGGAAUCUUCCGCAAUGGACGAAAGUCUGACGGAGCAACGCCGCGUGAGCGAAGAAGGUCUUCGGAUCGUAAAGCUCUGUUGUUAGGGAAGAACAAGUACGGGAGGAAAUGACCGUACCUUGACGGUACCUAACGAGGAAGCCACGGCUAACUACGUGCCAGCAGCCGCGGUAAUACGUAGGUGGCAAGCGUUGUCCGGAAUUAUUGGGCGUAAAGCGCGCGCAGGCGGUCUUUUAAGUCUGAUGUGAAAUCUUGCGGCUCAACCGCAAGCGGCCAUUGGAAAAUGGGGGGCUUGGGGGGAGGAGGGGAAAGGGGAAUUCCAGGGGGAGGGGUGAAAUGCGUAGAGAUGUGGAGGAACACCAGUGGCGAAGGCGGCUUUCUGGUCUGUAACUGACGCUGAGGCGCGAAAGCGUGGGGAGCAAACAGGAUUAGAUACCCUUGUAGUC
RNAcentral lists this ribosomal RNA (465 nucleotides) under uncultured bacterium. RNAcentral describes it as "bacterial SSU rRNA". It matches the Rfam family "Bacterial small subunit ribosomal RNA", at positions 338 to 795 of the family's 1533-position model. The record is from RNAcentral.